RNAcentral lists this ribosomal RNA (484 nucleotides) under uncultured bacterium. Its description in RNAcentral is "partial 16S ribosomal RNA". It matches the Rfam family "Bacterial small subunit ribosomal RNA", at positions 28 to 507 of the family's 1533-position model. The record is from RNAcentral.
AUUGAACGCUGGCGGCAUGCUUUACACAUGCAAGUCGAACGGCAGCGCGGGCUUCGGCCUGGCGGCGAGUGGCGAACGGGUGAGUAAUGCAUCGGAACGUGCCCAGUAGUGGGGGAUAGCCCGGCGAAAGCCGGAUUAAUACCGCAUACGGCCUGAGGGUGAAAGCGGGGGACCGAAAGGCCUCGCGCUAUUGGAGCGGCCGAUGUCGGAUUAGCUAGUUGGUGGGGUAAAGGCUUACCAAGGCGACGAUCCGUAGCUGGUCUGAGAGGACGACCAGCCACACUGGGACUGAGACACGGCCCAGACUCCUACGGGAGGCAGCAGUGGGGAAUUUUGGACAAUGGGGGCAACCCUGAUCCAGCCAUGCCGCGUGCGAGAAGAAGGCCUUCGGGUUGUAAACCGCUUUUGUUCGGGAAGAAAUCCUCUGGGCUAAUACCCCGGGGGGAUGACGGUACCGGAAGAAUAAGCACCGGCUAACUACGUG